This 483-nucleotide ribosomal RNA is filed under the name uncultured bacterium. Its description in RNAcentral is "partial 16S ribosomal RNA". It matches the Rfam family "Bacterial small subunit ribosomal RNA", at positions 28 to 507 of the family's 1533-position model. The record is from RNAcentral.
GACGAACGCUGGCGGCGUGCCUAACACAUGCAAGUCGAGCGGGGAUUUAAGUAGAAGUUCUUCGGAAUGGAGAUUUAAAUUCUAGCGGCGGACGGGUGAGUAACGCGUGAACAAUCUGUCCCGGACAGGGGGAUAACACUUGGAAACAGGUGCUAAUACCGCAUAAGACCACGGCCUCGCAUGGGGCUGAGGUAAAAGGAGCAAUCCGGUUCGGGGUGAGUUCGCGUCCGAUUAGCUAGUUGGUGAGGUAACGGCCCACCAAGGCGACGAUCGGUAGCCGGCCUGAGAGGGUGAACGGCCACAUUGGAACUGAGAGACGGUCCAAACUCCUACGGGAGGCAGCAGUGGGGAAUAUUGGGCAAUGGGCGAAAGCCUGACCCAGCAACGCCGCGUGAGGGAAGAAGGUUUUCGGAGUGUAAACCUCUGUCCUAUGGGACGAAGGAAGUGACGGUACCAUAGGAGGAAGCCCCGGCUAACUACGUG